CUGCCGCGCCUUGUCUCGCUAUAAUGUUUCAUUAAUUAACUCUGUCAUACUUUACAUAAAUGUUUCUUUGUAUCCUUACUCAGCCUUAAACCACAGUAGAUUAUUAGAUUCACCGCUAUUGUCGUUUUGUAGCUGCCUCGCGGUGUUGUUCCAUCGUCACUGUUGCUGGAAGAAGCAGUCGAAGUGGCUGCCAUGAAUUAAAAGGAAAGGGAGUUGUUACAAUAGGUUUAUGCGAACUUGGCUAAUUGAGAGUUGUUGUGGUUGUUGCAUAAGCGGUUUGGAGCUGAGGCUGCAGCUGCCACUGAUUGCGGGCCGAAAAGAAAGGGUCUCUUGAUGCGUUUGGUUUAUGAGUUUCGAUUAUUCGAGGAACCAUAUGAAGAGGCAUUAAGAAGAGUUAUACUGGGUUUGACUUAUG
Molecule: non-coding RNA, 415 nt
Organism: Arachis ipaensis
Lineage: Eukaryota; Viridiplantae; Streptophyta; Magnoliopsida; Fabales; Fabaceae
Source: RefSeq, a predicted model, not a curated record